RNAcentral lists this long non-coding RNA (233 nucleotides) under Capsella rubella. RNAcentral describes it as "long non-coding RNA (CRUB_LNC002034)". The record is from RNAcentral. Lineage: Eukaryota; Viridiplantae; Streptophyta; Magnoliopsida; Brassicales; Brassicaceae.
CCAAUCAUAUUUAAUAUGAAGAAAAAAAAAUCCACAGUUUUGCAUGAAUUCGAAAUAUAUUUCUUUCAGGACGGGUAAUUUCCUUUCUAUAUGAUUUUUCUCGGGAAUUAUUCCUAAAUAUGUUUCACAAUUUGAAAAUGUAGCAAAUAAACCCUAAUAACUAACAAUUAAAAAUAAAAAAUGUAUAUAAAAAUAAACAAUGAAUAAAACUUUUUAAAGAACGACCGAGAAAC